GGGUUGUGAGGUUAAGCGACUAAGCGUACACGGUGGAUGCCCUGGCAGUCAGAGGCGAUGAAGGACGUGCUAAUCUGCGAUAAGCGUCGGUAAGGUGAUAUGAACCGUUAUAACCGGCGAUUUCCGAAUGGGGAAACCCAGUGUGUUUCGACACACUAUCAUUAACUGAAUCCAUAGGUUAAUGAGGCGAACCGGGGGAACUGAAACAUCUAAGUACCCCGAGGAAAAGAAAUCAACCGAGAUUCCCCCAGUAGCGGCGAGCGAACGGGGAGCAGCCCAGAGCCUGAAUCAGUGUGUGUGUUAGUGGAAGCGUCUGGAAAGGCGCGCGAUACAGGGUGACAGCCCCGUACACAAAAAUGCACAUGCUGUGAGCUCGAUGAGUAGGGCGGGACACGUGGUAUCCUGUCUGAAUAUGGGGGGACCAUCCUCCAAGGCUAAAUACUCCUGACUGACCGAUAGUGAACCAGUACCGUGAGGGAAAGGCGAAAAGAACCCCGGCGAGGGGAGUGAAAAAGAACCUGAAACCGUGUACGUACAAGCAGUGGGAGCACGCUUAGGCGUGUGACUGCGUACCUUUUGUAUAAUGGGUCAGCGACUUAUAUUCUGUAGCAAGGUUAACCGAAUAGGGGAGCCGAAGGGAAACCGAGUCUUAACUGGGCGUUAAGUUGCAGGGUAUAGACCCGAAACCCGGUGAUCUAGCCAUGGGCAGGUUGAAGGUUGGGUAACACUAACUGGAGGACCGAACCGACUAAUGUUGAAAAAUUAGCGGAUGACUUGUGGCUGGGGGUGAAAGGCCAAUCAAACCGGGAGAUAGCUGGUUCUCCCCGAAAGCUAUUUAGGUAGCGCCUCGUGAAUUCAUCUCCGGGGGUAGAGCACUGUUUCGGCAAGGGGGUCAUCCCGACUUACCAACCCGAUGCAAACUGCGAAUACCGGAGAAUGUUAUCACGGGAGACACACGGCGGGUGCUAACGUCCGUCGUGAAGAGGGAAACAACCCAGACCGCCAGCUAAGGUCCCAAAGUCAUGGUUAAGUGGGAAACGAUGUGGGAAGGCCCAGACAGCCAGGAUGUUGGCUUAGAAGCAGCCAUCAUUUAAAGAAAGCGUAAUAGCUCACUGGUCGAGUCGGCCUGCGCGGAAGAUGUAACGGGGCUAAACCAUGCACCGAAGCUGCGGCAGCGACGCUUAUGCGUUGUUGGGUAGGGGAGCGUUCUGUAAGCCUGUGAAGGUGUGCUGUGAGGCAUGCUGGAGGUAUCAGAAGUGCGAAUGCUGACAUAAGUAACGAUAAAGCGGGUGAAAAGCCCGCUCGCCGGAAGACCAAGGGUUCCUGUCCAACGUUAAUCGGGGCAGGGUGAGUCGACCCCUAAGGCGAGGCCGAAAGGCGUAGUCGAUGGGAAACAGGUUAAUAUUCCUGUACUUGGUGUUACUGCGAAGGGGGGACGGAGAAGGCUAUGUUGGCCGGGCGACGGUUGUCCCGGUUUAAGCGUGUAGGCUGGUUUUCCAGGCAAAUCCGGAAAAUCAAGGCUGAGGCGUGAUGACGAGGCACUACGGUGCUGAAGCAACAAAUGCCCUGCUUCCAGGAAAAGCCUCUAAGCAUCAGGUAACAUCAAAUCGUACCCCAAACCGACACAGGUGGUCAGGUAGAGAAUACCAAGGCGCUUGAGAGAACUCGGGUGAAGGAACUAGGCAAAAUGGUGCCGUAACUUCGGGAGAAGGCACGCUGAUAUGUAGGUGAAGUCCCUCGCGGAUGGAGCUGAAAUCAGUCGAAGAUACCAGCUGGCUGCAACUGUUUAUUAAAAACACAGCACUGUGCAAACACGAAAGUGGACGUAUACGGUGUGACGCCUGCCCGGUGCCGGAAGGUUAAUUGAUGGGGUCAGCGCAAGCGAAGCUCUUGAUCGAAGCCCCGGUAAACGGCGGCCGUAACUAUAACGGUCCUAAGGUAGCGAAAUUCCUUGUCGGGUAAGUUCCGACCUGCACGAAUGGCGUAAUGAUGGCCAGGCUGUCUCCACCCGAGACUCAGUGAAAUUGAACUCGCUGUGAAGAUGCAGUGUACCCGCGGCAAGACGGAAAGACCCCGUGAACCUUUACUAUAGCUUGACACUGAACAUUGAGCCUUGAUGUGUAGGAUAGGUGGGAGGCUUAGAAGUGUGGACGCCAGUCUGCAUGGAGCCGACCUUGAAAUACCACCCUUUAAUGUUUGAUGUUCUAACGUUGACCCGUAAUCCGGGUUGCGGACAGUGUCUGGUGGGUAGUUUGACUGGGGCGGUCUCCUCCUAAAGAGUAACGGAGGAGCACGAAGGUUGGCUAAUCCUGGUCGGACAUCAGGAGGUUAGUGCAAUGGCAUAAGCCAGCUUGACUGCGAGCGUGACGGCGCGAGCAGGUGCGAAAGCAGGUCAUAGUGAUCCGGUGGUUCUGAAUGGAAGGGCCAUCGCUCAACGGAUAAAAGGUACUCCGGGGAUAACAGGCUGAUACCGCCCAAGAGUUCAUAUCGACGGCGGUGUUUGGCACCUCGAUGUCGGCUCAUCACAUCCUGGGGCUGAAGUAGGUCCCAAGGGUAUGGCUGUUCGCCAUUUAAAGUGGUACGCGAGCUGGGUUUAGAACGUCGUGAGACAGUUCGGUCCCUAUCUGCCGUGGGCGCUGGAGAACUGAGGGGGGCUGCUCCUAGUACGAGAGGACCGGAGUGGACGCAUCACUGGUGUUCGGGUUGUCAUGCCAAUGGCAUUGCCCGGUAGCUAAAUGCGGAAGAGAUAAGUGCUGAAAGCAUCUAAGCACGAAACUUGCCCCGAGAUGAGUUCUCCCUGACUCCUUGAGAGUCCUGAAGGAACGUUGAAGACGACGACGUUGAUAGGCCGGGUGUGUAAGCGCAGCGAUGCGUUGAGCUAACCGGUACUAAUGAACCGUGAGGCUUAACCUUACAACGCCGAAG
RNAcentral lists this ribosomal RNA (2925 nucleotides) under Escherichia coli. RNAcentral's name for it is "bacterial LSU rRNA". It matches the Rfam family "Bacterial large subunit ribosomal RNA". Lineage: Bacteria; Pseudomonadati; Pseudomonadota; Gammaproteobacteria; Enterobacterales; Enterobacteriaceae. RNAcentral also lists the same sequence under 1 other name. The record is from RNAcentral.